Molecule: ribosomal RNA, 1504 nt
Filed under: Escherichia coli
Lineage: Bacteria; Pseudomonadati; Pseudomonadota; Gammaproteobacteria; Enterobacterales; Enterobacteriaceae
Description: bacterial SSU rRNA
Rfam family: Bacterial small subunit ribosomal RNA
Source: RNAcentral
AAAUUGAAGAGUUUGAUCAUGGCUCAGAUUGAACGCUGGCGGCAGGCCUAACACAUGCAAGUCGAACGGUAACAGGAAGAAGCUUGCUUCUUUGCUGACGAGUGGCGGACGGGUGAGUAAUGUCUGGGAAACUGCCUGAUGGAGGGGGAUAACUACUGGAAACGGUAGCUAAUACCGCAUAACGUCGCAAGACCAAAGAGGGGGACCUUCGGGCCUCUUGCCAUCGGAUGUGCCCAGAUGGGAUUAGCUAGUAGGUGGGGUAACGGCUCACCUAGGCGACGAUCCCUAGCUGGUCUGAGAGGAUGACCAGCCACACUGGAACUGAGACACGGUCCAGACUCCUACGGGAGGCAGCAGUGGGGAAUAUUGCACAAUGGGCGCAAGCCUGAUGCAGCCAUGCCGCGUGUAUGAAGAAGGCCUUCGGGUUGUAAAGUACUUUCAGCGGGGAGGAAGGGAGUAAAGUUAAUACCUUUGCUCAUUGACGUUACCCGCAGAAGAAGCACCGGCUAACUCCGUGCCAGCAGCCGCGGUAAUACGGAGGGUGCAAGCGUUAAUCGGAAUUACUGGGCGUAAAGCGCACGCAGGCGGUUUGUUAAGUCAGAUUGAAAUCCCCGCUCAACCUCGAACCGCAUCUGAUACCGGCGUUUUCAGCCCUGUAGAGUAGGUAGAAUCUGCGUAAGGUGAAAUGCGUAGAGAUCUGGAGGAAUACCGGUGGCGAAGGCGGCCCCCUGGACGAAGACUGACGCUCAGGUGCGAAAGCGUGGGGAGCAAACAGGAUUAGAUACCCUGGUAGUCCACGCCGUAAACGAUGUCGACUUGGAGGUUGUGUCUGAGGCGUGGUCAGAGCUGGACGCGUUGGUCGACCAAUCGGGGAGCCGCCGCAAGGUUAAAACUCAAAUGAAUUGACGGGGGCCCGCACAAGCGGUGGAGCAUGUGGUUUAAUUCGAUGCAACGCGAAGAACCUCACCUGGUCUUGACAUCCACAGAACUUUCCAGAGAUGGAUUGUGCCUUCGGGAACUGCGAGACAGGUGCCGUGGCCGGUCGUCGUCAGCUCGUUAGGAAAUGUUGGUUAAGUCCCGCAACGAGCGCAACCUUAUCCUUUGUUGCCAGCGGUCCGGCUUCUAGAACUCAAAAGGAGACUGCCAGUAAACUGAGGAAGGUGGGGAUGAGUCAAGUCAUCAUGGCCCUUACGACCGUAUUAAUGCGCUAAAUGGCGUACAAAGAGAAGCGACCUCGCGAGCAAGCGACCCUCAUAAAGGCGUCGUAGUCCGAUUGAGUCUGCACCCAUGAAGUCGGAAUCGCUAUAAUCGUGGAUCGAAUGCCACGGUGAAUACGUUCCUGCUCCUGUACACACCGCCCGUCACACCAAUGGGAGUGGGUUGCGUUAAAGCGGUAUAGCUUUAACUCUUCGUGGAAAGGGCGCUUACCACUUGUGAUUCAUGACUGGGGUAGCCUGUAACAGGUAAAUCGUGGGAACCAUUGAUCACCUUACCUUAAAGAAGC